This 777-nucleotide ribosomal RNA is filed under the name uncultured Neocallimastigales. RNAcentral's name for it is "partial large subunit ribosomal RNA". It matches the Rfam family "Eukaryotic large subunit ribosomal RNA", at positions 23 to 626 of the family's 3401-position model. The record is from RNAcentral. Lineage: Eukaryota; Fungi; Neocallimastigomycota; Neocallimastigomycetes; Neocallimastigales.
AGAGAGAGACAUGCGCGCAUAUCAAUAAGCGGAGGAAAAGAAACUAACAAGGAUUCCCUUAGUAACGGCGAGUGAAGCGGGAAGAGCUCAAAUUUGAAAUCUUCAAGGUUUUACUCUUGACGAAUUGUAGUUUAAAGAAGUGUUUUCUGCUGAAGUUUUGGUAAAAGUUCUUUGGAAUAGGACAUCAUAGAGGGUGAGAAUCCCGUAUUUGACCAUUAUUUUCAGCUUUGUGAUACACUUUCAAAGAGUCGGAUUGUUUGGGAAUGCAGUCCAAAAUGGGUGGUAAAUUUCAUCUAAAGCUAGAUAUUGGCGAGAGACCGAUAGCGAACAAGUACCGUGAGGGAAAGAUGAAAAGAACUUUGAAAAGAGAGUUAAACAGUACGUGAAAUUGUCAAAAGGGAAGCGUUUGACACCAGUGUUGUUUUCUCGAAAAUCAAUUAAAAAUGGCUCGAUUUUGUAUUGCUUGAGACCUUAAAAGCUCACUGUACAUUUUUCGUGUCUUUUUUAAUGCACUUUUCGUUUAACAAGUCAACAUCAGUUUCUUUUGUUGUAAAAGGGUCAUUGGAAGGUGGCUUUCUUUUCGGAGAAAGUGUUUAUAGCCUUUGGCCUCUGCAAUCGGAAGAGACUGAGGUCUGCAGCGUAGACUCUUCGGGGUUAGAUACAUUUGUGCUAAGUUAUAGCUUUUUAUAGACAACUUGUUGACUAUAAUUAGUCUUGUAGCUUACUCGCUUAUGCUAUUUUACCUACGCUUAGGAUGUUGAGUCGUAGAGCACGCAG